UUCUUCAAUGACAUCAGAGAAGAGAGCUUCCAUAUGAGGCUCUCCCCAACACCACGUUGGGGGAAGAAAGGCAGAGCCGUGGGGAGCUGGAGGAUGAACCUGCCACAGUGCCCUGCUCUCAGGGCUGGGAGUACGACCACUCAGAGUUCUCCUCUACCAUUGCAACUGAGUCCCAGUGGGAUCUGGUGUGUGAGCAGAAAGGUCUGAACAGAGCUGCGUCCACUUUCUUCUUCGCCGGUGUGCUGGUGGGGGCUGUGGCCUUUGGAUAUCUGUCCGACAGGUUUGGGCGGCGGCGUCUGCUGCUGGUAGCCUACGUGAGUACCCUGGUGCUGGGCCUGGCAUCUGCAGCCUCCGUCAGCUAUGUAAUGUUCGCCAUCACCCGCACCCUUACUGGCUCAGCCCUGGCUGGUUUUACCAUCAUCGUGAUGCCACUGGGUGAGGCAGAGCUGGAGUGGCUGGAUGUGGAGCACCGCACCGUGGCUGGAGUCCUGAGCAGCACCUUCUGGACAGGGGGCGUGAUGCUGCUGGCACUGGUUGGGUACCUGAUACGGGACUGGCGAUGGCUUCUGCUAGCUGUCACCCUGCCUUGUGCCCCAGGCAUCCUCAGCCUCUGGUGGGUGCCUGAGUCUGCACGCUGGCUUCUGACCCAAGGCCAUGUGAAAGAGGCCCACAGGUACUUGCUCCACUGUGCCAGGCUCAAUGGGCGGCCAGUGUGUGAGGACAGCUUCAGCCAGGAGGCUGUGAGCAAAGUGGCCGCCGGGGAACAGGUGGUCCGAAGACCUUCAUACCUAGACCUGUUCCGCACACCACGGCUCCGACACAUCUCACUGUGCUGCGUGGUGGUGUG
This 847-nucleotide small RNA is filed under the name Pan troglodytes (chimpanzee). Its description in RNAcentral is "processed transcript". The record is from RNAcentral. Lineage: Eukaryota; Metazoa; Chordata; Mammalia; Primates; Hominidae.